This 675-nucleotide long non-coding RNA is filed under the name Pan troglodytes (chimpanzee). RNAcentral describes it as "lincRNA". The record is from RNAcentral. Lineage: Eukaryota; Metazoa; Chordata; Mammalia; Primates; Hominidae.
GACGUUACAAAGGAGCUCUGUGUCAGAAGCUAGGAUUAAAGAACAAAUACAGAACAAAUUAUUCCUCCAGCACCCCUACUGCAAGGGUUUUAAGAACUCUAUCUCAGGAUAAAGACCUGAGGGUCACAUGUACAUUGCUGGCCCCAGCUGGAUUUUCCCAGGGUCAGGUGCCCAUUCCUACCUAAUCAAAGGACACUUCUGCUGACCUGCACCUAGAAUACCCUGUUCUGUGCUGAUGACUCAGAUGUAAGAAUGAUGAAGUGCAUCAGUUGGCAUGCAGAGAACAAUAAGAAAAAGAACUGAGUUGUGGGAAGACAUGAGGAAAGGACAUGAGGCUCUUAAUAACAGCUGCCAAGUACUGCAGUCGGGAAUCUGGAGCAAAGUGAUUCAAUUCUGACCACUGCCUGUGAGUAAAUGGGAUUUUAUUUUUCAAUACUUUUGUUUAAUAUUACCUCCUUCAUUACAUGUGAACAGCACUCCAGGACAGUAAAUCAUGAAAUGGGAAUAAAGCCUGUAAUUUUAAUUAACAUAUUUUAAAAUGUUUCUAAUUUGUAUGCAUUUAAUCAAAUUUUCAUUUGCAUUGAGCUAUUUUUUUCUUUCUCAUGUAAUGUUUGACAUUACCAUUUGUUUCUUUAAUGAAAUACUAAUAUUUAAUAAAAUAUAUUACAUCCUUAA